Molecule: long non-coding RNA, 1505 nt
Organism: Colossoma macropomum (tambaqui)
Lineage: Eukaryota; Metazoa; Chordata; Actinopteri; Characiformes; Serrasalmidae
Exons: 2
Source: RefSeq, a predicted model, not a curated record
UACACAAUAAUAACUUGAACAAAGUUCAAGUAAAUUAAAAAUGGACAAAUUUGAAAUAUAGCAUUAAUUGCAAGAACAUAAUAAAGAAAGAAAGCAAAAAAGACAUGUAGGCUGUGCAGUACAAGACCUUUCCUGUCGGGUGUAUGUCAUUCAUUAGGGGAGCAGACACGUACUGAGCCAGCUGGGGUAUUAAGAGCAGGCAUAUGUGUAGCCACCUUGGGGUUCUGGGAGUAGUUUCGUUUCAUUGCUUCUAGGCUAAGCUAGCGGGGGACGGGGGUGUUUAUAACAGUGUUCCCUGAUGCUGGAGCUCCUUAUCCAGCAUUGGCUGCAUAAAGGUGUGUUGGGUUGUAUGUCGCCUUCUUUGUCUUUGCUGUUAUGUCAGUAUUCAGUAAUUAAAGUGUGUUUCUUUUCGGCUAGUGCGCGGUACAGGCGGACGGGCACCAAUGAGACGCGUUGGGUCCUGUUAGCAGUAGCCUCUUGGAGCUGAGUUAAGCUAACGUUAGUGUGAUUGGCGACUCAGCGGUGGUGUACAUUUUAAACGUUUUAAUUUGUUUAGUGUGACUAAGUACGAUAAGAUGUGCUGCCGAGAGCACCACCUGUAUUGCUAUGGUUUCUGUUUGCUCGGCUACGGCCAGUAAUUUGAUGUUGGUUUGUGUUCUAUUAACAUUCAGCCAAGUAGCUAGCAUGGCUACUCUCGAGGGAACAAACACCAAGUGUAGCUUCUGAUUUACAUCGUCCGCCGUAUUACUGUACCAGUUUUAGAUGUAAGUACAUUUUCCUGAGCCAUGCUAACAAGUUGUUCCUGAGAAUUUGGUACGUUCUGCUUUACAUUGUUCAUAUUUGGUGAUAAGUUCACUAAGUUAGUGUAUUUGUGUGUGUUACAUGAGGUGAAUGUUAAAAAUGUUCGUAUUUUCAUAGAUUGAUACAGCUUAUACACUGUGCCAGAUGCUGUUCUAUCACAACUGUUAUAAUAGCUUUUAAAUUUUACUGGACAUGCUGUUCUAAAAUUUAAAGAGAGUAUUAAACUUCCGUCUAGCCUGUUGGCUGUAUAGUGAAGGUGUAAAUGAGUAUUUAGUGUAUUGUGAGCCACUGGCUAGAUAGGUUUGCUGUGUUUUUUUUUUUUUUUUUUUAUUUAUUUUUAUUUUCUAUGUUUACUGCAGUUCAGGUGGGAUCAAGUCAGGGGAGGUUGGGGUCUAAUGGAUAACUGAGGGUAAUUGUGCUGUAUUCACUAAAGUGGCAGACAUUUGCAGUGCAGUGUGUUUGGAAUGAUUAAAGGAUUAGUGUAUAUUGUUUGGAAUUUUUUUCAUCAAUAUCUGCUUUUAGAAUUUAUUCUCAAGUGAUACUAAUCAUAAUAUUUGGUAGUUAUAUUAUUAUUUCAUAAUGCUUGAUUAUCACCAGAGAUGCUUUGAAUCUUUUAUUAUUGUUUUUAUUUAUAUUUUUGAUACUCCUGUGAUUGUAUGACUUCAAGUACAUUAAAUAAAGGCUAUGUUUUGAAUUUUUUUAAA